Non-coding RNA from Pelobates cultripes (western spadefoot toad), 1699 nucleotides. The record is from the annotation of a GenBank genome assembly. NCBI's taxonomy places the organism in Eukaryota, Metazoa, Chordata, Amphibia, Anura, Pelobatidae.
CAGGGGUCAUCAUGGUCACUUUGACCUGGCUGCGGCUGUGCAGUUCCAUAUGUAGUUCCAUAUCUGUGAUGCUUUAACACCUUUCUAUUGUGGCCAGCAUCCAGUUUUUCAGCCAUUUAGACUACAAUAGAUCUCCUGUGUGAUCGGACCAGACAGACUAGCCUUCGCGCCCCACAGGCAUCAAGGAGCUUUGGACGUGCAUGACCCUGACGCCGGUUCACUGGUUGUCCUUCCUAACCCACACCAUUUUUUUUUUUUUUUUCUUUUUUUUAGAUCUGAUCUAAUCAUCUAGCCAUCACUAUUUGGCCCUUGUUAAAGUCACUCUGAUCUUUUCACUUGCCAAUUUUCAUGCUUCCAUGAUAUUCAAGAAGUGACUGUUCACUUACUGCCUAAUAUAGGCCAUUGUAGCAAUAUAAUCAAUAUUAAAGGGGAGAGGGGAGGGGUUAGACCUUUCUUGCUUUGUUUUUACCCCACUUCUCUUUUCUGUCAAGCACUGUCAACCUUAGCUGCUAUUAGGAUUGUUUAGCCCUAUUUGGGGGCCUAUCUAUAUUAUUGUGUUUUUUUUCUCCAACACACAUUACCUUGAUCCUAUAAGCUAUCUGGUGACUAUAGUAUUUAAAAGAGUUUCAUCUUGGGCUUUAGUUCAGCCUUUGGCAGAUAUAGCUCGUAUAGCAAUCACAAUAUGUAUUCCCCAGGUACCACUGAUCACUCUGAGCCUAAUUUACCCUUCCUUGUUUGACAGCCUGUGGCUACCCUGUACAUAAUGGUUAAAGCUUUUUCCCCUCAAGUAUUAUUGUACUUACUUAAUUUUUUGUGGUUUAAGUUAUCUGUAGCUCAUGUUAUACAAUACAAGUUGCUUUUAUAUUUACUGCCUUAGCCUCCUGAAGUGCCUUCGUACACUUCAGGUGUUUCCUGUCUUGGUUCUAUAAGUUAUUAUUGUAAUAGGGUAUCUCCUUUAUUCAGGGAAGUGCAGUUACAAGCACCCCUCAGCGCUGUUGCUCAGCUGCCUCUUGUGGAUUUUUACUCUGGGCAGUGCACCAACAGAUCUGUUUUUUACUAUCGACUAUAAUCAAUAUUAUUCACUUCUCCGGUCAGUGGUUUUAAUGCUGUGGCUGACCAGUUUAGUUACAAAGCAGCCAUUUCAGUGUGGCACCUUCCCACACCAGCAUGCUCGCGCAUACAAGAUAAGUGACACAUACGUGCAUUCUCCCAAGCAUCCCAAUAUUGGAGGGACAGUUACUAUAUUGGGCCUAAAUUGGUUUGUGCCUCUUUUCUAUUUUGAUGUCCCUGUAGGUUCUCCAUUCUGUUGGUGUGUCUGAGUGUAUAACAGAGCUCCACAGGACUUCUUUUUUUUUCUGUGUUAUUAAACUACAAUAAAUAUGCUUAGAAAUAAGAUAUAUUGUUGUUGGUCUAAAUUACAAUUUAGUUACAUAGCUGAAAAGGGUUCAGCCUUCCUCACAUAUGUUUUUGAUGUUGAUCCAAAAGAAGGCAAAAAACUUCCAAUUUUGCAACAAACUAGGAAAAAAUUCAUUCUUGACCCCAAAAUGGCAGUCAGAUAUCUCCAUAGAUCAAGCAGCUGUUACCCCAUUAACCCCUUAAAGACGGAGCCAAAUGUACACAUUGUGAACGAAACAAAAUGUAAACAAAACCUGGCAUUUGCGCUACAUGUCUGUCCAACCGUAAUUCACCUCUUUCAUAG